Molecule: small nuclear RNA, 107 nt
Filed under: Procavia capensis (Cape rock hyrax)
Lineage: Eukaryota; Metazoa; Chordata; Mammalia; Hyracoidea; Procaviidae
Source: RNAcentral
GUACUCACUCUGGCAGCACUUACAAUAAAAUAGGGACGAUACAGAGAAGAUUAGCAUGGCCCCUGUGCAAGGAUGACACGCAAAUUUGUGAGGUGUUCCAUAUUUUU